Molecule: long non-coding RNA, 2827 nt
Organism: Etheostoma spectabile (orangethroat darter)
Lineage: Eukaryota; Metazoa; Chordata; Actinopteri; Perciformes; Percidae
Exons: 2
Source: RefSeq, a predicted model, not a curated record
CUGAGGGAGGAAGACUUAGUAUCUUCGCUGUUGCCGGAAGCAGAAAAAGGACCUUUAAACAAGUCGGCCUUAGGCCCAGAUAGAAAAAAAACACGCUCUUUCAAAAGUGGGUCCACUCUGCAGAGAAAGGAGGAAAAGAGGACAGCGGCACCGAGCCCUCCGUCUACCGCAGUUUGGCCUCAGAUGCGCCCAUCUCCAGCAGCAAGAAGUCAGAGAGACGUCUGCGUCAGAGUCCCGAGAUGCUGGUGACUGGGAGGCUCACACAUGCCCGACGGCCUGUUUGGAGAAUGACCAGUUGAUUGGAAAAACCCCAAAAUGUCCCUCUAAACCCCAAAUAAUCCCACGACACGAUUUUUUUCUUAACUCUUAAUUAAUUUGCAAAUAACCGUUUGUACAGAUCGACCGCACUGUGUACUCAGCACGAGCAACUAAAGUCCGGAAGUUGCAGAAGGCCAGACAGAUUUACAAGUUUGAGGUAAAAAAAGGAAGAAAAAAAAAGGAAAAAAAAAAACGAAAAGAAAAGAAGAGAAAAAAAAUUAACCAAACAAAAUGUGUUUGGAGAACGAGCUAAAUGUGUAGCAUGGUUGUCCAGUGUACAAAUCGAAAAUAACCCUGUUCUCAGCAUGACGGUCAGGUAGAAAUGACCACUGAAUGUGCAGUGCGAGGCGUUUUCAAGCAUGGGCUAAAGCAGGCCUAGCCUACGUUUUAUGAAAUGGCCCGAAAACAUAUUUUCAAAAAUCUAAAAACUGCAGGAAAAAAGACGUUGACUCUUAUGGUUGAAUUUACCUGUGAAACAAAUCUGAUGGUAAACAGAAAACCAACAAAGAUAAAAACAUUUAUCAGUAAUUAACAUAAUAACAUAAUCACAUAAUCACGGUACGUUUAGCUGGCCUAUAAAGUACAUUUAUCAUUUAUGGGGAAUUUCGAAGAAUAGGGCUAAAAUAAAACAGACACCUGAACUACAUGUGGCUGGACAUUAAAGUAUUGAAUAUAGCCUACAAGAAAAACGCGACAUCACGAAUAAUUAUUAAAGUAUGGACGAAAAACGGUGAAGCUGUUUGUUAAAAGCCAUACAGUAGAACAACAGACCAAAUACUUUGCCCAUUUGAAAAUAGUUUGAGGAAACCUACUUGCAUUUGUCUAUGAAUGUGGCUAAAAUAAUAAUUUAUACUCCCUUGCUGACGCACCAUAUGCUUAUUGACCUCAUUUCAAUUAUAAAUAAAUAAAUAUAAAUAAUGUUGAUGAAAUGUCUUAAAACCUAAUCUCAACCAUGACGUUUUUUUUCUUCUAUUUGUGGAGACAGGGGACAAAAUAAUCAAAUAACUCAAAUGGUUGUUGGCAUAAACCCUUGAUUUUAACAAAUAAAUAAUCUAAAAUAAAAUAUAAAAUAAAAAAUAUGUUACAAAAGUUACAAAAACCAACUGGAGGAAAUUUGCUGGCGUGCCUCAGCCCUGAUCAUGUAAAGCAACCAAUAAGUGUCAAUUAGGCUGAGCUUUGGGUUAAUAGAAGCCCUGAGUAGUGGAUCUCACCACAGCCCUCUAAACCAGCCAUUACUGCAGACCACAACGGCUCAUUACCACACUGUUUUAAGACCCAAAAUGAUGUGGACAAUAUGUUCCCUAGAGCUCACUGUAAGAGGAGAAGGGCACACUGUGGGAUCAGGCAGGCAGAGCUCAGACAACAUGGAGGGACUUUUUUUCCUAAGUCUGUAAAACCUUAAAAUGAUUCUUUCUUCAAAAUUACAAGUUUAAGAUCCCGGGUUAGAAUAUAACUGCAAACCAUGAUUGACAUGUUAGAAACUAAUUAUCUGAGAAGAAACCAGGCGAUUCAUUGCUGGUGAUUGUAGCAGACAAAUAUUCACUUAUCAAAGAAGGAUUUGGCACCAACUAUUUACGAGUUUAGAGAAACAUAAACAGCCAUUUUUAUUCAACAGGCACACGUUUUAUUAGAGUAAUUACUAGAUAUUGAAGUGCAUAAUAAGGAUAACAACAUAAGGAGCCAUCUCAGAUUCUUUUAAAGUAGUUACAGAGUAAAUGUGGUGUCUGAGGAAUUUGAAAAGCAAACAGAUGUUUGACGCACCUGUCUAUGUAGCACAACAUGACUGAGUUAAAUGUUCCCUUCUCAUCCUGCAAAUCCAAAUCUCAAAACACUCUGAUUUGUAAAGCAAAAAACUGUUGUUACAAAUGAUAAUUGCUACAAUAAACUGAAGCAAUAUAACUCAGGGUGGACCAAGGUGAAAAUAACAAAUGUCCUCAGAAGUAAAAGUGAAACAGAGAGACAUUCACGGACCUUUAAGAGAAAAAAGGAGAAAACAAUGCAAAGGGAAUUGGCACUCAUCCAGACAACUUGCGCUAUUUACCAAAUGUACAAAUUUUAAAAAGCUGUUGUGCACAGUUAAACUACUAAGACCUAACAAGAUCACAAAAAGAACUACGGACGGUCAAUCAAACAGAUGGAAGAAAUAAAGAAAAGCAAAUAUAGCUGAGUUGGAGAAUUGAGUGACGGUUAUACCUAAAUGAUAAGGCAUAUUUUAGACUCAAAGCCCUGCAGUGCACAAAAAACACUGCACAACUAAAAAGCACAACCCAAUAAAAAAACAAAGGCCUCAGUCCUUCCGUCUGACUGCUGCAGCAGAUCUCCUGCUCUCACCGCCCUCUGCUGCAGUGAACAUUAAAUACUCAUUUGGCCUUACACAAAAUAUACUCUGCAGCAAGACCACAUGUCAAACUCGGUUUUUCCCUCUCAAUCAUCAUUCCUCUUCCCGUUAAUAGAAAUGACCCAGAGAAUUCUGCGCCUCCAUGUGAGAAGUGCAAUAAGCGGCGGAAAG